UACAAAGGUCCCGAGCGUUGUUCGGAUUUAUUGGGCGUAAAGGGUGCGUAGGCGGCGGAGUAAGUUGGGUGUGAAAUCCCGGGGCUUAACCUCGGAAUGGCAUUCAAUACUGCUUCGCUCGAGUACUGGAGAGGAGGCUGGAAUUUACGGUGUAGCAGUGAAAUGCGUAGAUAUCGUAAGGAAGGCCGGUGGCGAAAGCGAGCCUCUGGACAGUUACUGACGCUGAUGCACGAAGGCCAGGGGAGCAAACGGG
This 253-nucleotide ribosomal RNA is filed under the name uncultured bacterium. Its description in RNAcentral is "partial 16S ribosomal RNA". It matches the Rfam family "Bacterial small subunit ribosomal RNA", at positions 524 to 776 of the family's 1533-position model. The record is from RNAcentral.